AAUUAGAAAGUGAAAUAUUUACGUUCAGUUUCGGCCUGAAUUUUGACUAAUUAGUCUCUAAUUU
RNAcentral lists this transfer RNA (64 nucleotides) under Laomedia astacina. RNAcentral's name for it is "tRNA-Arg". Lineage: Eukaryota; Metazoa; Arthropoda; Malacostraca; Decapoda; Laomediidae. The record is from RNAcentral.